RNAcentral lists this non-coding RNA (31 nucleotides) under Rattus norvegicus (Norway rat). Lineage: Eukaryota; Metazoa; Chordata; Mammalia; Rodentia; Muridae. The record is from RNAcentral.
UGAUUCAUGUGAUCCCCUCCAAGCCCCCCAU